AUUGAACGCUGGCGGCAGGCCUAACACAUGCAAGUCGAGCGAGCGGCGGACGGGUGAGUAAUGUAUGGGGAUCUGCCUGAUGGAGGGGGAUAACUACUGGAAACGGUAGCUAAUACCGACUACCAUCAGAUGAACCCAUAUGGGCUUAGCUGGUAGGUAAGGUAACGGCUUACCUAGGCGACGAUCACUAGCUGGUCUGAGAGGAUGAUCAGCCACACUGGACCUGAGAAACGGCCCAGACUCCUACGGGGGGCAGCGUUGGGGAUUAUUGCAAAAGGGGGGCAAGCCUGAUGAGGCCAUGCGGCGGGUAUGAAGAAGGCUUUAGGGUUGUAAAGUACUUUCAGCGGGGAGGCGUUACCCGCAGAAGAAGCACCGGCUAACUCCGUGCCAGCAGCCGCGGUAAUAC
This 406-nucleotide ribosomal RNA is filed under the name uncultured bacterium. Its description in RNAcentral is "partial 16S ribosomal RNA". It matches the Rfam family "Bacterial small subunit ribosomal RNA", at positions 30 to 526 of the family's 1533-position model. The record is from RNAcentral.